This is a non-coding RNA of Odobenus rosmarus divergens (Pacific walrus), 582 nucleotides long. Lineage: Eukaryota; Metazoa; Chordata; Mammalia; Carnivora; Odobenidae. The record is from the annotation of a RefSeq genome assembly.
AUGGCCUGGACCCCUCUCCUCCUCAGUGUCCUCGCUCACUGCACAGGUUUCGUGGCCUCUUGUGUGCUGACUCAGCCACCCUCGGUGUCAGUGACCCUGGGACAGACGACUACAGUCACCUGCUCCGGAGAGAUACUGAGCAAAUCCUAUACACAAUGGUUCCAGCAGAAGGCAGGCCAAACCCCUGUGAUGGUCAUUUAUAUGGAUAGCAACCGGCCCUCAGGAAUCCCCGACUGAUUCUCCGGCUCCAGUUCAGGGAACACACACACCCUGACCAUCAGCGGGGCCCGGGCCGAAGACGAGGCUGACUAUUACUGUCAGGUGUGGGACAACAAUGGUAAUGCUCCCGGUGACACAGGCAGCUGGGGAAGUGAGACACAAACUCGUUCCCCAUCCGUGUCACACUCUCCUCCAGCCCCAGGAGGCCUGAGCUACCCCUGGGGCCCUGCCCACAGGCUCAGCCCCCACAGGACCCUGAGCAUGACUUCGACCCUCAGCUCAGCCCAGAAGGUGCUGCAGGAGGUGGACCCAGAGAAUGAGCCCGACAGUCUCCGGAACCUGCACGCCCUGUAUCUUUCGUAA